GAGUAAUUUCUCACCCCAUACAAAGGGUAUUUGCAACCUAUUUUAUUUGUUCUUUACCACAGCUUUGUGAUUUUUGGCACAUUUUUUCCCCUUUUUUUUCUUUUGCUAAGAAAAAUGAAGUUCAGAGAGAUUAAGUGACCGGUGCAAGAUUGCCCAGCCAGUGAGCGUGGAUUCAACACUGCUUAUGGUAAAUCUGGAGUCUUCUCUGUGACGUCUGCCAAACACCUGGUUAUGCAUCCUUCCUUGUCAUUCCUCAAGUGAAAAAUGAAGACCAGAAGUGUUCCUGAAGUGAGGAAUCAGCAUACAACUUGCACACCAUGCAUGGUGACCCUAGGCUCACACAUCGUAUACAAGAAACACACGAUUUGCCUAGAUGAACUUUGGAAAUGA
This 390-nucleotide long non-coding RNA is filed under the name Piliocolobus tephrosceles (Ugandan red Colobus). RNAcentral's name for it is "lncRNA (ENSPTEG00000021109.1)". Lineage: Eukaryota; Metazoa; Chordata; Mammalia; Primates; Cercopithecidae. The record is from RNAcentral.